GACGAACCGUGCGAACGUUGUUCGGAAUCACUGGGCUUAAAGGGCGCGUAGGCGGGCGAGCAAGUUCGGGGUGAAAUCCCCCGGCUCAACUGGGGAACUGCACAGGAAACUAGCGGGCUUGAGUUCGGGAGAGGGAAGCGGAAUUCCGGGUGUAGCGGUGAAAUGCGUAGAUAUUCGCAAGAACACCAGUGGCGAAGGCGGCUCACUGGCCCGAUACUGACGCUGAGGCACGAAAGCGUGGGGAGCAAACAGG
RNAcentral lists this ribosomal RNA (253 nucleotides) under uncultured bacterium. RNAcentral's name for it is "partial 16S ribosomal RNA". It matches the Rfam family "Bacterial small subunit ribosomal RNA", at positions 524 to 776 of the family's 1533-position model. The record is from RNAcentral.